This 432-nucleotide ribosomal RNA is filed under the name uncultured bacterium. RNAcentral describes it as "partial 16S ribosomal RNA". It matches the Rfam family "Bacterial small subunit ribosomal RNA", at positions 338 to 784 of the family's 1533-position model. The record is from RNAcentral.
CCUACGGGUGGCAGCAGUGGGGAAUAUUGGGCAAUGGGCGCAAGCCUGACCCAGCAACGCCGCGUGAAGGAAGAAGGCCCUCGGGUUGUAAACUUCUUUUGUCAGGGACGAAACAAAUGACGGUACCUGACGAAUAAGCCACGGCUAACUACGUGCCAGCAGCCGCGGUAAUACGUAGGUGGCAAGCGUUAUCCGGAUUUACUGGGUGUAAAGGGCGUGUAGGCGGGAGAGCAAGUCAGAUGUGAAAUUCCAGGGAUCAACCCUGGAACUGCAUUUGAAACUGUUUUGCUUGAGUGAUGGAGAGGCAGGGGGAAGUCCGUGUGUAGGGGUGAAAUGCGUAGAUCAACGGAGGAGAAGCAGUGGCGAAGGCGGCCUGCUCGACAUUAACUGACGAUGAGGCGCGAAAGCGUGGGGAGAAAACAGGAUUAGAUA